GGGAAAGACUGAAAGAAGCUCUGGAGAAGAGCGACCACCACCAAACAGGCAGCAUACACCAGCUGAUAUGAGGACCUGAACACACAUACAGUAGAGGACUGCCAGAGUACCUUUGAGCACCAUGAAUGCUGGUUAGGAGUAAAGCUUCUAAUUGGGCACCAGCUGACCAGUCCAUGUUAAGUUACAUGUUAUCAUGGAGAAAGAAUGAAGCUUUGCUGGUUAUUCAUGCUGAUCAUGAUUCAAGAUCUGAACGCAUUCACAUAUAUUUUUUAAAGAAGAAUGGAAAUGAAUAAACUCAAAAUACAGGAACUUUAAAAAGAAUUGUGGAACUCUGUUUGUAAAGGUUCAUGCCACUAUGGAAAUAGAACCUAAGUAAGAUAUUCAUUAGAAGUGUCUAUUAUUUAAAAAAUGUUUCUGUGUUAUCUAUGUAUGGGAGGGG
This 439-nucleotide long non-coding RNA is filed under the name Mus musculus (house mouse). RNAcentral's name for it is "predicted gene, 47030". Lineage: Eukaryota; Metazoa; Chordata; Mammalia; Rodentia; Muridae. The record is from RNAcentral.